This 497-nucleotide ribosomal RNA is filed under the name uncultured bacterium. RNAcentral describes it as "partial 16S ribosomal RNA". It matches the Rfam family "Bacterial small subunit ribosomal RNA", at positions 28 to 507 of the family's 1533-position model. The record is from RNAcentral.
GACGAACGCUGGCGGCGUGCCUAAUACAUGCGAGUUGAGCGCUGAAGGUUGGUACUUGUACCAACUGGAUGAGCAGCGAACGGGUGAGUAACGCGUGGGGAAUCUGCCUUUGAGCGGGGGACAACAUUUGGAAACGAAUGCUAAUACCGCAUAAAAACUUUAAACACAAGUUUUAAGUUUGAAAGAUGCAAUUGCAUCACUCAAAGAUGAUCCCGCGUUGUAUUAGCUAGUUGGUGAGGUAAAGGCUCACCAAGGCGAUGAUACAUAGCCGACCUGAGAGGGUGAUCGGCCACAUUGGGACUGAGACACGGCCCAAACUCCUACGGGAGGCAGCAGUAGGGAAUCUUCGGCAAUGGACGAAAGUCUGACCGAGCAGCGCCGCGUGAGUGAAGAAGGUUUUCGGAUCGUAAAACUCUGUUGGUAGAGAAGAACGUUGGUGAGAGUGGAAAGCUCAUCAAGUGACGGUAACUACCCAGAAAGGGACGGCUAACUACGUG